RNAcentral lists this long non-coding RNA (431 nucleotides) under Mytilus galloprovincialis (Mediterranean mussel). The record is from RNAcentral. Lineage: Eukaryota; Metazoa; Mollusca; Bivalvia; Mytilida; Mytilidae.
AAACGAAUGAUUGAUUGAUUGAUUGAUUGUUGGUUGCUUAACGUCCAGUGGCAAAUAUUUCAUGCAUAUUCAGGACGAGAACAAGUUCACAAUAAAUACAAUAGGUAGGUUGUUGUAAUAGAGGCCAUCUAGGAUGAUGGUCGGGGAAAUUUGGACUGCCACUGGAAAAUGAGGGUAUAUUGGAUAGGGACAGAAAUUUUGCCUUGCAACAGGCCACCUAUGGACCCCUCAAAGAGUUGUUGCAAGGGUUCUUAACGUGCAAAGAGCGUGGCACUCUCUUUACACGAGGCAUCGGAUUUAACGUCCCCUUCUGACGGACGUGACUGCGAACUUGAUAAAUCCCGCACAGCCAAACGGACGCCCCACUUCAGCAAGCGUUUUACUGCCGGUCGGGAGAAGACCAAGUGACCAUAUUUCUAUACCCCAGUCAC